This 1319-nucleotide unclassified non-coding RNA is filed under the name Athalia rosae (coleseed sawfly). Its description in RNAcentral is "misc RNA ENSAEAG00005010115.1". The record is from RNAcentral. Lineage: Eukaryota; Metazoa; Arthropoda; Insecta; Hymenoptera; Athaliidae.
AUAACUGCAGCAUGGCAUGUAACAUAGCACGACGGAUUUAGAAACAGCAAUGAGACGGUUGAUCGAUGCGGGGGAAACCUCCCGGGAUGCACAUACCUAUACACAUGCCGUGGAUAUAUACUGCGGGCUCGCUAGCUGCAACCCGUUACCCGCGAGCGAAACAGUCGUUGAAAAAGCCUCCACGAGCAUCAAGAGGGAGGGUAGCUCAGCUGCGGAAAGAGAGAGCGAGAGAGAGAGAGAGAGAGAGAAAAAGAGAUGAAGGGAAGUGCAGCAGCAUCUCUUCCAGAAGCCAAGGGGUGUGCAGGUAUAGUAGUAGAUGAGUAAAAUGUGAAACGGGUGAGGACUAUCGGUAGGCGGUAGGUGUUAUUUUAUACAUAUACAUAUAUAUAGGAUACGUAUACACAUAUAUACAUACACGUCAAAUGUAGCUACACAAGUAUGCGUAUGUGUUUUACCUAGAUGUGAGUAUUUGUAUGUGCUUUAGAUGGCGAAGAGUGAGAAAUUCUGUUUCUGAGUAAAUAGAGAGAGAGAGAGAGAGAGAGAGAGAGAGAGAGAGAGAGAGAGAGUCAGGGAAUGAGUCGGAGUAAGAGUCAGCGGUGAUCCUCGGCGCUGGUCGCCGGUAAUGGCACGACCGCUUCACCUCGAUGGUACAUAGAGAAGAAAAAAAGCGAAAUAAAUAAAUAAAUAAAAAAGAGAAACAGUGAAAUAAAAGAGGUGAAAAAAAAAGCAUAUAGGUGUACGCUGUAUAUGUAUAAAAUGAAAGGAGAAAGAGGAAUGACUAUACAGAAGUGGCUACGACAUUUUUAGCCAACGGUUGCGCCGAAGCCACGCGAGAAUGCCCGCCUACACCUGAUGCAGCAACCUUCGGCUUUUCUUCGACAGCCGCACGUUCAAUCCACGCGGACACUUAUACGUAUAUGUACAUAUAUACCACCGUUCGCAACGCUAUCUUCUUCUUUUGAGUUCUGCAGAAGAAUCCCCGCCCCAGGGGCGACCGGCGGUCGAUUGUUUCUUGCACUUUGCCGGACAUAAGACGACGCUAUACCCGAAUUACGGAAAACCAGGUACCCGGGACUUCCUCCGGUAUCGCAGCGUCGCGGCGCCUUUUAUAAUGUAUUUAAACUCCCGAGAUAGUCGCGUAAGAUCGCCGGGCAUCGUUCUGCACGUGAUACUCGUCCGAGGGAUUCGGAGAUGAGAAACUCCCCAACUCUUAACUUCGAUAAAAAGGUUUUAUCGGUGUCGGGGAAAAAUUCAAAUCUUUCAAAUAAAGACGUGCGUAUACCAAUGUUUCUCGCAUCGGGUAAAAGAACAAUGAAAAC